AUUGAACGCUGGCGGCAGGCUUAACACAUGCAAGUCGAGCGGGGUGAUGGUGCUUGCACUAUCACUUAGCGGCGGACGGGUGAGUAAUGCUUAGGAAUCUGCCUAUUAGUGGGGGACAACAUCUCGAAAGGGAUGCUAAUACCGCAUACGUCCUACGGGAGAAAGCAGGGGAUCACUGGUGACCUUGCGCUAAUAGAUGAGCUGAAGUCGGAUUAGCUAGUUGGUGGGGUAAAGGCCUACCAAGGCGACGAUCUGUAGCGGGUCUGAGAGGAUGAUCCGCACACUGGGACUGAGACACGGCCCAGACUCCUACGGGAGGCAGCAGUGGGGAAUAUUGGACAAUGGGGGGAACCCUGAUCCAGCCAUGCCGCGUGUGUGAAGAAGGCCUUAUGGUUGAAAGCACUUUAAGCGUGGAGGAGGCUCUUUUGGUUAAUACCCAAGAUGAGUGGACGUUACUCGCAGAAUAAGCACCGGCUAACUCUGUGCCAGCCGCCGCGGUAA
This 501-nucleotide ribosomal RNA is filed under the name uncultured bacterium. Its description in RNAcentral is "partial 16S ribosomal RNA". It matches the Rfam family "Bacterial small subunit ribosomal RNA", at positions 30 to 523 of the family's 1533-position model. The record is from RNAcentral.